UACGUAGGGUCCGAGCGUUGUCCGGAAUUAUUGGGCGUAAAGGGCUCGUAGGCGGUUUGUCGCGUCGGGAGUGAAAACUCAGGGCUCAACCCUGAGCGUGCUUCCGAUACGGGCAGACUAGAGGUAUGCAGGGGAGAACGGAAUUCCUGGUGUAGCGGUGGAAUGCGCAGAUAUCAGGAGGAACACCGGUGGCGAAGGCGGUUCUCUGGGCAUUACCUGACGCUGAGGAG
Molecule: ribosomal RNA, 230 nt
Filed under: uncultured microorganism
Description: partial 16S ribosomal RNA
Rfam family: Bacterial small subunit ribosomal RNA
Source: RNAcentral